This 392-nucleotide ribosomal RNA is filed under the name uncultured bacterium. RNAcentral describes it as "partial 16S ribosomal RNA". It matches the Rfam family "Bacterial small subunit ribosomal RNA", at positions 523 to 918 of the family's 1533-position model. The record is from RNAcentral.
AUACGGAGGAUGCGAGCGUUAUCCGGAUUUAUUGGGUUUAAAGGGAGCGUAGGCGGGAGCUUAAGUCAGCGGUUAAAUGGUGCGGCUCAACCGUGCCCUGCCGUUGAAACUGGGUUUCUUGAGAGUGCAAGAGGCGGAUGGAAUUCAUGGUGUAGCGGUGAAAUGCUUAGAUAUCAUGAAGAACUCCGAUUGCGAAGGCAGUCCGCUGGGGCACGUCUGACGCUGAUGCUCGAAGGUGCGGGAAUCAAACAGGAUUAGAUACCCUGGUAGUCCGCACGGUAAACGAUGAUUACCCGCUGUCGGCGGUAGACAGUCGGCGGCCAAGCGAAAGCGAUAAGUAAUCCACCUGGGGAGUCCGCCGGCAACGGUGAAACUCAAAGGAAUUGACGGGG